AGGCUUAACACAUGCAAGUCGAGCGCCCCGCAAGGGGAGCGGCAGACGGGUGAGUAACGCGUGGGAAUCUACCUUUUGCUACGGAAUAACGCAGGGAAACUUGUGCUAAUACCGUAUGUGUCCUUCGGGAGAAAGAUUUAUCGGCAAGAGAUGAGCCCGCGUUGGAUUAGCUAGUUGGUGGGGUAAAGGCCUACCAAGGCGACGAUCCAUAGCUGGUCUGAGAGGAUGAUCAGCCACAUUGGGACUGAGACACGGCCCAAACUCCUACGGGAGGCAGCAGUGGGGAAUAUUGGACAAUGGGCGCAAGCCUGAUCCAGCCAUGCCGCGUGAGUGAUGAAGGCCCUAGGGUUGUAAAGCUCUUUCACCGGAGAAGAUAAUGACGGUAUCCGGAGAAGAAGCCCCGGCUAACUUCGUGCCAGCAAGCCGCGGUAAUACGAAGGGGGCUAGCGUUGUUCGGAAUUACUGGGCGUAAAGCGCACGUAGGCGGAUCGAUCAGUCAGGGGUGAAAUCCCAGGGCUCAACCCUGGAACUGCCUUUGAUACUGUCGAUCUGGAGUAUGG
This 560-nucleotide ribosomal RNA is filed under the name Martinezella tropici. RNAcentral describes it as "bacterial SSU rRNA". It matches the Rfam family "Bacterial small subunit ribosomal RNA", at positions 44 to 651 of the family's 1533-position model. The record is from RNAcentral. Lineage: Bacteria; Pseudomonadati; Pseudomonadota; Alphaproteobacteria; Hyphomicrobiales; Rhizobiaceae.